This 375-nucleotide ribosomal RNA is filed under the name uncultured bacterium. RNAcentral describes it as "bacterial SSU rRNA". It matches the Rfam family "Bacterial small subunit ribosomal RNA", at positions 525 to 896 of the family's 1533-position model. The record is from RNAcentral.
ACAGAGGGGGCAAGCGUUGUCCGGAAUUACUGGGCGUAAAGCGUCCGCAGGUGGCCGUGCAAGUGUUAUGUGAAAGCCCCGCGCUUAACGCGGGGAGGCCACGACAGACUGUGCGGCUGGAGGGGUGCAGAGGGUCGUGGAAUUGCCGGUGUAGUGGUGAAAUGCGUAGAGAUCGGCAGGAACACCAAGGACGAAGGUAGCGACCUGGGCACCACCUGACACUCAGGGACGACAGCGUGGGGAGCAAACCGGAUUAGAUACCCGGGUAGUCCACGCCGUAAACGAUGGAUGCUCGGCGUGUGGCGGCUAUCAACGCCGCUGGGCGCCUCAGCUGACGCGGAAGCAUCCCGCCUGGGAACUACGAGCGCAAGCUUA